AUUGAACGCUGGCGGCAGGCCUAACACAUGCAAGUCGAGCGGAUGAAGGGAGCUUGCUCCUGGAUUCAGCGGCGGACGGGUGAGUAAUGCCUAGGAAUCUGCCUGGUAGUGGGGGAUAACGUCCGGAAACGGGCGCUAAUACCGCAUACGUCCUGAAGGAGAAAGUGGGGGAUCUUCGGACCUCACGCUAUCAGAUGAGCCUAGGUCGGAUUAGCUAGUUGGUGGGGUAAAGGCCUACCAAGGCGACGAUCCGUAACUGGUCUGAGAGGAUGAUCAGUCACACUGGAACUGAGACACGGUCCAGACUCCUACGGGAGGCAGCAGUGGGGAAUAUUGGACAAUGGGCGAAAGCCUGAUCCAGCCAUGCCGCGUGUGUGAAGAAGGUCUUCGGAUUGUAAAGCACUUUAAGUUAGGAGGAAGGGCAGUAAGUUAAUACCUUGCUGUUUUGACGUUACCAACAGAAUAAGCACCGGCUAACUUCGUG
RNAcentral lists this ribosomal RNA (484 nucleotides) under uncultured bacterium. RNAcentral's name for it is "partial 16S ribosomal RNA". It matches the Rfam family "Bacterial small subunit ribosomal RNA", at positions 30 to 507 of the family's 1533-position model. The record is from RNAcentral.